Molecule: long non-coding RNA, 1461 nt
Organism: Neopsephotus bourkii (Bourke's parrot)
Lineage: Eukaryota; Metazoa; Chordata; Aves; Psittaciformes; Psittacidae
Exons: 2
Source: RefSeq, a predicted model, not a curated record
CAGCGGAAGGAACAUCUCAGAUGAGGAUCUCCAGCUCACUGCAGCAAGCACUGGGUUGUGUUGGUAUAAAACCAGUUGUCAGAGGAGGAAGCAACCGAGUGAGAAAACCAGGGGCCAGAAACAUCAACAGGUAAAAGGCAAAGGCACUCCAGAAGCUGCAUAAAGAAGCCAAGGCCAUCAGAUCAAAUAAAUCUGCAUUUGCUCUGAUUUGCUGGCAAGCCAGGCUGGCUUCCUGCAUGAUUAGUUUUCUUCUGCUGCAUGGCAGUUAAGUGGUUUAGGUCUAAUUGCUCAGGAGCCUGAAGCUUUCUGUAGCCCAGAGGAACAGCUACGCAAUGGAAAUGGAUAUGCUAUUUCCAUGUGUCCCUCACUAUCCAGAAGCCCCAUCCCUGGGGAUGAUGCUGUCUCAAACAUGCAACUCACCAGGACACCUUGGGAAUGUCCCUUGGAACCUCCCCUUGAGGGUGCAGACCCCCUGGCGGUUGCUGCUGAGCAAACCCAUCUGCACACACCUCUGUGGAUGGUGGGGUUGUACCCACAUCUCCUGUAGAUGUAUGUCCUGCUUUUUGCAAAAGGCAAGAGCAGAAUCCAUAUGUGGCCAGACACGUAAAGCUGGGGGCUUCAGGCAAGCUGUCAUGGAGAGGGUCCAAGCAAGGUCUUCACUGGCUGUUGGGUUUUGGCCUGGCUUGGGAGUUGCUCUUUUCCAGGCUAUUGCAUAGGAGGAAGGAGCUAACACAUGGACCUGGCUCGAUCCUGAACACUUUUCAGACCCUGAGGAAAGCUGUGGCAGGCAGAUUGCUCUUGAGGAACCAGAUAGACAGCUUCACCACCCCGCAGCCUCUGCUCCUCAGAGCUAAAAAUGGUAAUGCCAACUUGUAAAGUAGAGAUGGUUGCUUGCAUGGUUCCUAUCACGUGCUCUUCCUCUGCCUGGGGUGAGUGUUCACAUCCUCCCCAGGCAACUCUCUGCCCUAAUGUCCAAACCCAGCAGCAAGCGCUGUUGGUUGUACAACAAACCCAUUUUCUACAACAGCUGUGGAGCUGGGUGGCCCCACCACCCUCCACACAACUAAACCAUUAUGUUCCCACCUCAACACUAUGUGUUGCUUCAUUAUUCUACUCAUGAAGUCCUUGAUCCUGAAGCUGCAACAACAUUACGGCAGAAAAAAGAUGAGGAGGAGUCUUCACAGCUUUUUUCUCCUUCUGAGAGUGACUUGUGGCUACUGGUCAACUGAUGCAGCCAGAGGUGACUGAUGAGGGCCUGGGGUGGAAAGCCUCUGUGUUCCUGAAGAAUCCCUGCUGGCAAGGCCUGUGUCCCCACUGGGGUGGGCUGGCAGGCUGUCACCUCGCAUGGUGGCUUUAGCUGAUUGCUGGGAGCUUUUGCCCUCAUUAAGAGCAGUAGCUGACAGCACCAACUUAUUCUAAAAUGACUUUUGCUUGAUAUAAAUAAAACAUACUUUAAUACUG